Molecule: long non-coding RNA, 2395 nt
Organism: Xenopus laevis (African clawed frog)
Lineage: Eukaryota; Metazoa; Chordata; Amphibia; Anura; Pipidae
Exons: 3
Source: RefSeq, a predicted model, not a curated record
UGUAAAUCUUUCCUCUUUAGAUCAUUUCUUAAAAAGGAAGGAAUAAAUGAACAUUUCUAAUUAUAACAACCAAGACAGCCUUUGCUAGGGAGACUGGGAUUUAGAUGCAUAUUUGUACUUUAUUCAAUGUGUAUUCUUAAUUAGAUUGAUUAAAUGGUUCCUCCUGUUACCACACAACCUUUCAGCCAGAUCAGAAGCAGGAUGUAUUGUUAUUAAAACUAACAUUUUAUAUGAAGUCUUCCCUUUUCAUCUUGUUCCGGCUCUGGCAGUUUGGUUAGCAGCCCUGCAUACUAAGUUUAGGGUUUUGGCAUCUCAUUGCAAGAAUGGAACAAAUGUUUUUCAGUUCUUGAAGUUUCAUUGACUUCUUGACAUUGUGUAGUUAAAAAAAACAGACGCAUUAAUUGGUGCACAUGAGCCAUUCUGCUCGUCAGGAGUUGCUGAACACUGAAUUGUAUUUAUUAAAAUGAACUUUUAGCAAGCAGUAGAUAUUGGUUAGUGGCAUAAAUAUAGAGGAAGCAGAUUGAAACCCAUUCCCUGGGGUCUAUUUCUUUUAUUACUUCCCCCCUCUCCAGCCGUUCUCCUACCUGAGAGCUGGUGGUGAGCAGAGGAUGUGAGUAGCAGGUGGGUGGGCCAAUGGUUGCUGUAUGUGCAAGGCCCCUCCGAAAGAUUUUUUGGGGGGUGGGAGCUGGUACCAUUUAGUAAUGCCACUUAUAACAAAGUAUUUUAUAUUUUUUUAGCCUUUAUCAUUUCAUUAUCUGCUCCAUAUUACAGGAAGGCCAUCUCUCAUAGACUCCAUUUUAAUCAAAUAAUUCACAUUUUUAAAAAUGAUUUCCUUUUUCUCUGUAAAAAUAAAACGGUGCCUUUUACUCGAUAAGCUGCAAAACAAAACUAUUAGGGUUAUUGAAUAUGUAAGUGAUAUUUUGUUGAUCCAAAUUAUAGAAAGAUCUAUUUGGAAAAUUCCAGGUCACAAGCAAUCUGGAUAACAGGCCAUAUAACUGUAGUAGAAGAUAUAAAGCGAGUAAAGAAAUCCAAAAAAAAACAGGAAAACUAGGACAAAGAUGGUUAAGAAAGAGAAGAAUUUUGGCAAAGGAGAGAGGAAGAAUGAGACAAGAGAAUAAGAUGAAAACUGCUAGAGAAGAGACACGAGGAAAUAAAAGAUAAAAAGAGAUGUACAUGUCCUGAGCUGUGAUAAAGAUACAAAAUGGCGUCUAAUAGCUGUGUCAUUACCACAAGAUUCCAAGCACUCCAAUCCUCAAAUCAAAAUGGAAUCCAUAAUGGAGGUCUUGCAUUGCCUUUGUAUCUAAACAUAGUCUCUCCUUCCACUUUGUGACCCCAUAGGAGUGCCAGGAAUGCAUCAGACUUGACAGAAUGAGAGCUAUGGCUGCCAAUGACCUAGGAUUACAAGAGGGAGGAACACAACAAAUGUUAAAGGAACAGUAGAAUUGAAGAAUAACACUGUAUACUAGAGUUUAUGCUGUGCAUCCUGUGCCUUUUCUCCUUUAUCAGCUUUGAAUGGCUGGCCCAUGGCUACACAUGCAGGUUGUUUAUAUCAACUAUAGUAGUCUUCUUAUUACUACACCAAUAAGGGCAUAUCGCAAAACUCUUACACCUAUCAUGCUGGACACAGCUAAGUUGCUAAUACCUCUAUAUUGGAAACAGCAAGAACCACUCACAAUCAGAGAAUGGUUGCAUAGGAUGGAGGAAAUUGAAAGAUUUGAGAGAUAUAAGACAAUAUCAACACAGGAAACACAGAAACACACUCAAAAAUGGUUCUAUUGGCAUCAAUUUAAGGAGUCAGAUAAAUACAAAACUGUGAUAUAGCUUUAAAUAAGUUUAUUUAAGAUUAAACAGAUCAUUCAAAAACUGUUCAUGCAUGGUCAUAAUUCAACAAGUGGUGUUCAGCCCUUGCUUAGAUUAACGACUUCUGGACUUUUUCACUUUGCCACACAUAAUGAGAUGGUUGUUGGGAGCUGGUCCUCCAUCUGGAUAUGAUCAUUGAUUGCCUUGGGUAGGCAUUACAACGGUAUUGUCUAGAUUAGUAUAUUUAAAGGGACCUAGGGACGGUCUCGUUGCUAUUAAUUUAAAUGUUCUAUUAGAUCACCCACAUUACGCUUUGAUCUACAAUUACCUAAUGCAGCUGGAGGUUUUCUCCCUGGACCCACCUUCCUUCCAUAUCCCACCUGCUUUUCUUCUUUCUAUCCUCUUUCGGUUUUCGUGUUUUCACACAUUCAGAGGUGGACAAGAUCACCACGCACGGAUAUGUUACUCAUGUACGGUUAGUAUCCUUUAUAUCCAGAUUUUUUGUUUAAUUUUUGUUACCCUUUCUGAAUGUGAAUACUUCGCUUUUUCUGUACCACUGAAAAUUUCUAAUAAAAACUUAAAUUUAAAAGUCAAA